GGAGGGGGAUGUUCACAGACUUCAGGAUGAAAACACGACUCCUCUCCUUAGACUGGGAGACUAAGCGCAUUUUAUUAUUUGAUCAGUACAUUAAAUGCCAUCGGGACGGAGUGUGUGUUCCAUUAUGCCGGUGUCUCAUGCCUGUUCAAAAUGAGGUUCGGGAAUGCUCUCCUGGCUGACGCAAUUUUGAGACAGUUUUCAGACGGAGCUUCCAGAGAGUUCUUCCAAAGCAAUAACGCCAUAGGGGGCUACGAAAUUGGGACCACUUAAGGACAAAUAAUUUUGAUGCUUGCUUUUGGUGCUUGGCGUUUUAUUACAGGCGUGGCCUCAUGCCACUAUAUAGGCUCCAAAAACACGACUGAAAACAGGUUGCACCUUAUUCCAUCCUGUGGGUGCCCGUGCUCCUUGACAGUCUGACAAAGCCAGCUGCCGGUUCACUCCAGUCCCCGGGAAGUGGAGUCUGAGGAGGAACGUGACGUCGCAUGAGUGUGGACAAUAUAAUCUCCCCACACUGGGACCCACGGCAUGGCCGGGGAGCAGCCUGCACCAGCUCAGGGGGCAGGGAAAACAGCUUCCUUCAAACAAGGGGCUCUCAACCAGGGGUGAUUAUGCUUCCCAGGUGACAUGUGGCAAUGCCUGGAGACAUUCUGGUUGUCACAAGUUGGGGACUAUUACCGGUAUUUGUGGGGGUAGAGGCCAGGGAUGCUGCCAAACACCCUACAGUGCACGGGACAGCUGCCUGCCACCAAGGUGAGAAUUAUCCAGCCCCGAAGGUCCAAGUGCCAAGGUUGGAAACUCUGAGACAUGCUGCGUCGAGAGUGUCUGCAGCCAGUUGUUGGGCAGACGGGGGAGGUUCAGAGAAGUGCACUGGAUGGAGGGCCCGUGACCAGGGCCGUGUGAACACGGGUUCUAGGACGACGGUGGUGAUGUGACAUAGCUAACGCUCAUUCCAAGUGCUUACUCCAUGCCGGGCUGCGAGCUCGAGGUCGAUGAUCUUGUUUAACUUCUACAACUGCAGAAAGGUACUGUUACAACCCCACUUUGUAGAGAAUCAACCAAAGACACACACAGCUGGUAAAGGAAGGGCAAGGAGAUUCUUUCCUUCUUCACGUACUUUUUUCGGGGGUGGUGAUUUUGGGGAGGGAGGGGGUGUCUGGUUUCCCCCUACUCGCAGGGCCACGUGGCCCGGUAGUUAGAAGGUCGGCAUUGAAGUUAGAGUUCCAGCCACUCAACAGGCAAUCAUCGUGGAACUUCUCUGGGCCAGGCGCUGGAGAAACAGGCAGUGGCACACUGGAGAUGACCUACACCGGCUGGGGAGAGCCGAUUGUUAAGUUUUCAGGAAUUGUGCAAGCUGGUCAUCAAACAGCCAUUAAACAAGAUUAAAUGAUAUAAACUUACAAUUAAAUAAAUUAUAUUUUUUAAAAAGGCAAUAAAACUCAUCACUUCCUAAUUAUUUUACUACAUGUUACUAGUAUCUCUGUUCUGGAGGUUAUUUAUGUCUACUGCAGGGGUCGCCAAACUUUUUCUGUAAAAGGGCCAGAUAGUAAAUAUUUCAGGUUUUGCAAGCCAUGAGCUGAAUCUGGUCCCUCAGCCGUUGCGUGCUGACCCCCCGGUCGAUCAUAUUUGUAGGGUGGAGAUACUCCAGAACGGGGUGCAUCUCUUCCCAACUCUUCAGUGAUGCAUGUCUAUAGCCUGAAAUCGGCCAUGGUGGGAAUAUUUUACACCAGGAAAAUUGUCAAAGUCUGUGAAUCAGGGAUUUUCUUUCUUCAGCAAGCUGACUGUUAAACAUUUAUCAUCACACCACCGGACACAACGAUGGCCAGAACUAGAAUGAACCCUGCCUCUGGAGGGUACGGUGGUAGGGUUUGUGCGCCAUUUCAUGGCGGGGUGGGGCAUGGAGGGAGCUGUGCAAAGGCUCCCCUGGAGACCACGUGGAGGAGGAGGAUGCCUACCUACACGGGUGUCUGCUGGAAGGGGCAGGGCUGCUAGAAGUGGGUGCCUCAGUGGACCUCACCUAGGGCUGGCCAUCAGCUCCGAGGCUCUCCUCCCCCACCAGGGACUUUGUUACUUCAUCAAACUCCUUUGUGGGCAGCCAGGGCAGCAGGUCUGUCUUUCCCCUCUGAGUUGGCUCAAGGCGAGACUUCAGGGACCUGAGAGUUGAGAUGUGAGCUCAUGAGGGCAGUCUACAAUCUGUUCACCACAAUACCCCCAGGUCCUUGCACCACUCCACCAGCGUGGCCCGGGGGUGAACCCACAGUGGGUUGCUGAACCGAAGUGGGAGAGGGAGUUCCAGUGAGCAGGAGGCUGGGACUUGACUAUCACCGACUGAGUACCAAUGCCAUCCCCUCUCAUCCUGUCCCAACUGACUGACACGGUCCUACUGCCUGCAAAUCCCCAAGGACCAGGAUAGUCGAGUUUGAUGACCCAUCAUCGCAUAUUCGUUGAGCUCCAACUGUGUGCACACACUGAGCUAGCUCUGCUGUCAACAGGAGUUCCUGCUUUCUGCCCUCAAGGCACUUUUCUGCUUGCAGUGUCUUGGGGGCUCCAUGUCACUGAUUUUAAACUAAAAUCAAGAAAUAUUAUUCUUUAAAGAUGACAUUGAUGGAAUUCAAUACUUUCUUCUUGAGUGCCUGCUCAGGAAAACAUUACAAAGGAGGUGCGGGAAAAACAUGGAAUUUGACGUUAAACAGAACUUCACAUUCAAAUCUUGGCUGGAGGCCCAUACUUGUCUGACUCCCUGAGCCUCAACUUCUCACCCUUAAGAUGGGGAUGAUAAUAAUUCUUGCCUCCUGGGCUGGUUUGGAGGAAGAAAUGGGAAGAAAUAUAUAAAGACCCCAGCAUCGUACCUGGCAUUUGGGUGCCGGCCAUUUUUAUCAUGAUAUUCCUAUUGAAUGUUUACAAAUCGACCACCAUAUCAAGCAUUGUUGAGGAUGUCCACGUGUCCUACAAGAAAUCAGAGAUCCUUUGCACCCUGGUAAAUCUCGUUCUGCUGGAGUUGUGUCCCCAGAAUGGGGCGAGAGGAGGGUCCAUGGAUAUUCCCGAAGUGGACAGCAGCUCCUCUGCCUGUCACAG
Molecule: long non-coding RNA, 3072 nt
Filed under: Equus caballus (horse)
Lineage: Eukaryota; Metazoa; Chordata; Mammalia; Perissodactyla; Equidae
Description: lncRNA (ENSECAG00000048813.1)
Source: RNAcentral